This 73-nucleotide transfer RNA is filed under the name Candidatus Gottesmanbacteria bacterium. RNAcentral's name for it is "tRNA-Ile". It matches the Rfam family "tRNA". From Rfam's summary of the family: Transfer RNA (tRNA) molecules are approximately 80 nucleotides in length. Their secondary structure includes four short double-helical elements and three loops (D, anti-codon, and T loops). Lineage: Bacteria; Candidatus Gottesmaniibacteriota. The record is from RNAcentral.
GGACGCGUAGCUCAGUGGUUAGAGCAUCACACUUAUAAUGUGAGGGUCCUAGGUUCAAAUCCUAGCGCGUCCA